GUGCUUACUCUGGCAGCACAUAUACUAAAACUGGAAUGAUUCAGGGAAGAUUAGUAUGGCCCCUGUGCAAGGAUGACACAUGAAUUCGUGAAGCAUUCUAUAUUAAA
Small nuclear RNA from Sapajus apella (tufted capuchin), 107 nucleotides. Lineage: Eukaryota; Metazoa; Chordata; Mammalia; Primates; Cebidae. The record is from RefSeq and is a predicted model, not a curated record.